Non-coding RNA from Pangasianodon gigas (Mekong giant catfish), 72 nucleotides. The record is from the annotation of a GenBank genome assembly. Lineage: Eukaryota; Metazoa; Chordata; Actinopteri; Siluriformes; Pangasiidae.
UUCCUGGCGGCCUAGUGGUUAGGCCACAGGGCUCUUACCUCUGUGGCCCCGGUUCGAUUCCUGCCCAGGGAA